This 303-nucleotide unclassified non-coding RNA is filed under the name uncultured Basidiomycota. Its description in RNAcentral is "sequence contains ITS2". Lineage: Eukaryota; Fungi; Basidiomycota. The record is from RNAcentral.
AACGCACCUUGCACCAUAUGAGCAAUCGUAUGGUAUACCUGUUUGAGAAUCGUAAAAACCCACUCCUACCCUUGGGUAGGGAAGUGUCGGUUUGAGCCUUGCUCAAUCUGAUCAAAAGUAGUAGGUCUAGUCAGGCUGGUGGCCUGGGACAUUGUGUGCUAGAGACGUCACUUGUGACUGUCUUCUCACGAUGCGUCCUUGGCUAUUCAAGCUGGUCUGAUGUCCACCUCUCAGUGUCUUCGUCAUGGAGACACACCCCCCCUUUUUGAUCUCAAAUCAGGUAAGGCUACCCGCUGAACUUAA